Molecule: transfer RNA, 73 nt
Rfam family: tRNA
About the family: Transfer RNA (tRNA) molecules are approximately 80 nucleotides in length. Their secondary structure includes four short double-helical elements and three loops (D, anti-codon, and T loops). Further hydrogen bonds mediate the characteristic L-shaped molecular structure. tRNAs have two regions of fundamental functional importance: the anti-codon, which is responsible for specific mRNA codon recognition, and the 3' end, to which the tRNAs corresponding amino acid is attached (by aminoacyl-tRNA synthetases). tRNAs cope with the degeneracy of the genetic code in two manners: having more than one tRNA (with a specific anti-codon) for a particular amino acid; and 'wobble' base-pairing, i.e. permitting non-standard base-pairing at the 3rd anti-codon position.
Source: Rfam
GGGAUCUUAGCUCAGCUGGGAGAGCAUCUGCCUUACAAGCAGAGGGUCAUAGGUUCGAACCCUAUAGGUCCCA